Molecule: ribosomal RNA, 464 nt
Filed under: Vreelandella stevensii
Lineage: Bacteria; Pseudomonadati; Pseudomonadota; Gammaproteobacteria; Oceanospirillales; Halomonadaceae
Description: partial 16S ribosomal RNA
Rfam family: Bacterial small subunit ribosomal RNA
Source: RNAcentral
CCUACGGGAGGCUGCAGUGGGGAAUAUUGGACAAUGGGCGAAAGCCUGAUCCAGCCAUGCCGCGUGUGUGAAGAAGGCCUUCGGGUUGUAAAGCACUUUCAGUGGGGAAGAAAGCCUUGGGGCUAAUACCCUCGAGGAAGGACAUCACCCACAGAAGAAGCACCGGCUAACUCCGUGCCAGCAGCCGCGGUAAUACGGAGGGUGCGAGCGUUAAUCGGAAUUACUGGGCGUAAAGCGCGCGUAGGCGGUCUGAUAAGCCGGUUGUGAAAGCCCCGGGCUCAACCUGGGAACGGCAUCCGGAACUGUCAGGCUAGAGUGCAGGAGAGGAAGGUAGAAUUCCCGGUGUAGCGGUGAAAUGCGUAGAGAUCGGGAGGAAUACCAGUGGCGAAGGCGGCCUUCUGGACUGACACUGACGCUGAGGUGCGAAAGCGUGGGUAGCAAACAGGAUUAAUACCCGAGUAGUC